RNAcentral lists this non-coding RNA (234 nucleotides) under Ligilactobacillus agilis. RNAcentral's name for it is "Lactobacillus agilis T-box sequence". It matches the Rfam family "T-box leader". Rfam says of the family: Uncharged tRNA acts as the effector for transcription antitermination of genes in the T-box leader family. Lineage: Bacteria; Bacillati; Bacillota; Bacilli; Lactobacillales; Lactobacillaceae. The record is from RNAcentral.
UUAAAGACAGUGAACAGAAGAGUAGGCCAAUUCUUUUUUAGCAGAGAUUUCUCAGGAGCUGAAAAGAGAAAAGAAAAGGUUGGCCGAACCACAUCUGCGAGUUACUAGAUUGAACGCAUAGUUUAGUAGGUUUAGUCGGGAGCCCCCGUUAACAGCUGAGUUUAAAACUCGCUAAGGUUAACUUUGUGAGAAGUUAACGUCAUUGAGGUGGGACCGCGUAGAUACGCCCUCUGA